UGGGGAAUUUUGCACAAUGGGGGAAACCCUGAUGCAGCGACGCCGCGUGAUUUAGAAGGCCUUCGGGUUGUAAAAAUCUUUUCUAUGGGAAGAAAAUGACAGUACCAUAGGAAUAAGGACCGGCUAAUUACGUGCCAGCAGCCGCGGUAAUACGUAAGGUCCGAGCGUUGUCCGGAAUCAUUGGGCGUAAAGGGUACGUAGGCGGGUAAGCAAGUUAGAAGUGAAAUCCUAUAGCUCAACUAUAGUAACCUUUUAAAACUGCUCAUCUUGAGGUAUGGAAGGGAAAGUGGAAUUCCUAGUGUAGCGGUGAAAUGCGCAGAUAUUAGGAGGAAUCCCGGUGGCGAAGGCGACUUUCUGGCCAUAACCUGACGCUGAGGUACGAAAGCGUGGGUAGCAAACAGG
Molecule: ribosomal RNA, 402 nt
Filed under: bacterium
Lineage: Bacteria
Description: partial 16S ribosomal RNA
Rfam family: Bacterial small subunit ribosomal RNA
Source: RNAcentral